Molecule: ribosomal RNA, 617 nt
Filed under: uncultured bacterium
Lineage: Bacteria
Description: bacterial SSU rRNA
Rfam family: Bacterial small subunit ribosomal RNA
Source: RNAcentral
CCUACGGGAGGCAGCAGUGGGGAAUUUUGGACAAUGGGCGCAAGCCUGAUCCAGCAAUGCCGCGUGAGUGAAGAAGGCCUUCGGGUUGUAAAGCUCUUUUGUCAGGGAAGAAACGGGUUUGGCUAAUAUCCAGACCUAAUGACGGUACCUGAAGAAUAAGCACCGGCUAACUACGUGCCAGCAGCCGCGGUAAUACGUAGGGUGCAAGCGUUAAUCGGAAUUACUGGGCGUAAAGCGUGCGCAGGCGGUUUUAGUAAGUUUGUCGUGAAAUCCCCGGGCUCAACCUGGGAAUGGCGAUGAAGACUGCAAGGCUAGAGUUUGGCAGAGGGGGGUAGAAUUCCACGUGUAGCAGUGAAAUGCGUAGAUAUGUGGAGGAACACCGAUGGCGAAGGCAGCCCCCUGGGUCAAGACUGACGCUCAUGCACGAAAGCGUGGGGAGCAAACAGGAUUAGAUACCCUGGUAGUCCACGCCCUAAACGAUGUCUACUAGUUGUCGGGUCUUUAAUUGACUUGGUAACGCAGCUAACGCGUGAAGUAGACCGCCUGGGGAGUACGGUCGCAAGNUUAAAACNCAAAGGAAUUGACGGCGNGAGAGNGCGAGACGACACGAGGAGAGG